RNAcentral lists this ribosomal RNA (353 nucleotides) under uncultured bacterium. Its description in RNAcentral is "bacterial SSU rRNA". It matches the Rfam family "Bacterial small subunit ribosomal RNA", at positions 1 to 334 of the family's 1533-position model. The record is from RNAcentral.
GUGAGUAGUUCAGAGUUUGAUCCUGGCUCAGGAUGAACGCUAGCGGCAGGCUUAACACAUGCAAGUCGAGGGGCAGCAUGAGGGUUAGCAAUAACUCUUGAUGGCGACCGGCGCAAGGGUGCGUAACGCGUGAGCAACUUGCCCGUUUCUGGGGAAUAACCGGUGGAAACGCCGACUAAUACCCCAUGGCAUUGAUUUCAGGCAUCUGUUAUCAAUUAAAGAAUUUCGGAAACGGAUAGGCUCGCGUGACAUUAGCUAGAUGGCGGGGUAACGGCCCACCACUGGCGACGAUGUCUAGGGGUUACGUGAGUAGGAGGGUCCCCCGACGACUGGAACGUGAGGACACGGUCCAG